This 233-nucleotide long non-coding RNA is filed under the name Panax ginseng (ginseng). Its description in RNAcentral is "long non-coding RNA (PGIN_LNC007207)". Lineage: Eukaryota; Viridiplantae; Streptophyta; Magnoliopsida; Apiales; Araliaceae. The record is from RNAcentral.
GUAAAACGUUUUGAAGGAAAUGAAGUGCUAUUUUGAAUUAUCGAUAGUACUUCGUAACUAUUGUUCAGUUAUUGAAGAUAUAUGAUUCCUAUGUUUCAAGCAUGUUGUUUAUUACAAUUGUUGUACUUGCUGAGCUAGUCAUGCUCACUCUUGCUUGAACCAUAUGAAUACAGCUAAGAUCGAACGGACCGAAGGCUUCAGCAAGGAUAAGGGCAAGACGAAGACGAACCCGU